GAACGCUGGCGGCGUGCUUAACACAUGCAAGUCGAACGCUGAAACCGGGUGCUUGCACUGGGUGGAUGAGUGGCGAACGGGUGAGUAAUACGUGAGUAACCUGCCCUUGACUCUGGGAUAAGCCUGGGAAACUGGGUCUAAUACUGGAUACGACAUGUCAUCGCAUGGUGGUGUGUGGAAAGGGUUUUACUGGUUUUGGAUGGGCUCACGGCCUAUCAGCUUGUUGGUGGGGUAAUGGCUCACCAAGGCGACGACGGGUAGCCGGCCUGAGAGGGUGACCGGCCACACUGGGACUGAGACACGGCCCAGACUCCUACGGGAGGCAGCAGUGGGGAAUAUUGCACAAUGGGCGAAAGCCUGAUGCAGCGACGCCGCGUGAGGGAUGACGGCCUUCGGGUUGUAAACCUCUUUCAGCACGGAAGAAGCGAAAGUGACGGUACGUGCAGAAGAAGCGCCGGCUAACUACGUGCCAGCAGCGGGGUAAAUAA
This 488-nucleotide ribosomal RNA is filed under the name Kocuria sp. RNAcentral's name for it is "bacterial SSU rRNA". It matches the Rfam family "Bacterial small subunit ribosomal RNA", at positions 31 to 526 of the family's 1533-position model. The record is from RNAcentral. Lineage: Bacteria; Bacillati; Actinomycetota; Actinomycetes; Micrococcales; Micrococcaceae.